UCCGAUUGAUUUUCGAAGGGCUUUAGCUUGAUAUUUUCCUCCAUCUUCCUAUUGUUUUUGAAGAGGUUUACCCAUGGAGCUUUAGUGUCUUCCACACCCUCAAUCCACCGUUUUCCUCUUUUUGGUUCUUUAAUUCAUCCGUAUUUGACUGAAAUUUAGAACUUUCAGAUUCCGUAUCCUCGCCUCCAAGUGUUUGGGACACACUUGGAUACUCACAAGUUGCCUUAUGAAGUACCUUCGAAAGGGGGAUUAUCUCCUUAGACAUGGAGGAAUCACAAGAGGCCUGCGACAAUUCAUUAACUGGUCCAGCAGAAUUUUUCCAGGAAUUA
RNAcentral lists this long non-coding RNA (329 nucleotides) under Olea europaea (common olive). Its description in RNAcentral is "long non-coding RNA (OEUR_LNC006805)". Lineage: Eukaryota; Viridiplantae; Streptophyta; Magnoliopsida; Lamiales; Oleaceae. The record is from RNAcentral.